This 468-nucleotide ribosomal RNA is filed under the name uncultured bacterium. RNAcentral describes it as "partial 16S ribosomal RNA". It matches the Rfam family "Bacterial small subunit ribosomal RNA", at positions 28 to 507 of the family's 1533-position model. The record is from RNAcentral.
GACGAACGCUGGCGGCGUGCUUAACACAUGCAAGUCGAACGGAAAGGCCCUGCUUUUGUGGGGUGCUCGAGUGGCGAACGGGUGAGUAACACGUGAGUAACCUGCCCUUGACUUUGGGAUAACUUCAGGAAACUGGGGCUAAUACCGGAUAGGAGCUCCUGCUGCAUGGUGGGGGUUGGAAAGUUUCGGCGGUCGGGGAUGGACUCGCGGCUUAUCAGCUUGUUGGUGGGGUAGUGGCUUACCAAGGCUUUGACGGGUAGCCGGCCUGAGAGGGUGACCGGCCACAUGGGGACUGAGAUACGGCCCAGACUCCUACGGGAGGCAGCAGUGGGGAAUAUUGCACAAUGGGCGGAAGCCUGAUGCAGCAACGCCGCGUGCGGGAUGACGGCCUUCGGGUUGUAAACCGCUUUCGCCUGUGACGAAGCGUGAGUGACGGUAAUGGGUAAAGAAGCACCGGCUAACUACGUG